This 504-nucleotide ribosomal RNA is filed under the name uncultured bacterium. RNAcentral's name for it is "partial 16S ribosomal RNA". It matches the Rfam family "Bacterial small subunit ribosomal RNA", at positions 28 to 523 of the family's 1533-position model. The record is from RNAcentral.
GAUGAACGCUAGCGACAGGCCUAACACAUGCAAGUCGAGGGGCAGCACAUGAGUAGCAAUACGAUGGUGGCGACCGGCGCACGGGUGAGUAACACGUAUGCAACCUGCCUUCUACUAUGGGAUAACCCGUUGAAAGACGGACUAAUACCGUAUAAUACAGGGGCUCCGCAUGGAGAUAUUUGUUAAUGAUUUAUUGGUUGAAGAUGGGCAUGCGUAUGAUUAGAUAGUUGGUGAGGUAACGGCUCACCAAGUCAACGAUCAUUAGGGGUUCUGAGAGGAAGGUCCCCCACACUGGUACUGAGACACGGACCAGACUCCUACGGGAGGCAGCAGUGAGGAAUAUUGGUCAAUGGACGAGAGUCUGAACCAGCCAAGUCGCGUGAAGGAAGACGGUUCUAUGAAUUGUAAACUUCUUUUGUGCAGGAAUAAAGUGGGUUACGUGUAACCUUUUGUAUGUACUGUACGAAUAAGGAUCGGCUAACUCCGUGCCAGCCGCCGCGGUAA